AUUGAACGCUGGCGGCAGGCCUAACACAUGCAAGUCGAGCGGAUGAAGGGAGCUUGCUCCUGGAUUCAGCGGCGGACGGGUGAGUAAUGCCUAGGAAUCUGCCUGGUAGUGGGGGAUAACGUCCGGAAACGGGCGCUAAUACCGCAUACGCCCGGGGGGGGAAAGGGGGGGAUCUUGGGACCUCACGCUCUCAGAUGAGCCUAGGUCGGAUUAGCUAGUUGGUGGGGUAAAGGCCUACCAAGGCGACAAUCCGUAACUGGUCUGAGAGGAUGAUCAGUCACACUGGAACUGAGACACGGUCCAGACUCCUACGGGAGGCAGCAGUGGGGAAUAUUGGACAAUGGGCGAAAGCCUGAUCCAGCCAUGCCGCGUGUGUGAAGAAGGUCUUCGGAUUGUAAAGCACUUUAAGUUGGGAGGAAGGGCAGUAAGUUAAUACCUUGCUGUUUUGACGUUACCAACAGAAUAAGCACCGGCUAACUUCGUG
This 484-nucleotide ribosomal RNA is filed under the name uncultured bacterium. Its description in RNAcentral is "partial 16S ribosomal RNA". It matches the Rfam family "Bacterial small subunit ribosomal RNA", at positions 30 to 507 of the family's 1533-position model. The record is from RNAcentral.